Molecule: non-coding RNA, 531 nt
Filed under: Pan troglodytes (chimpanzee)
Lineage: Eukaryota; Metazoa; Chordata; Mammalia; Primates; Hominidae
Source: RNAcentral
GUCUCUACAAAAAAAAAGAAGUUUUAAUUUUUGGUCCUUCCUUCUCUGUUUCCUCAGACUCAUCUUCCCAAUGGCUGAAGGCUCCCUGUUGCCCCUGGUGUAGUGAAUUCUAGUGGUCAUAACACAUUUAUGUUCACAGCACAUAUGUUUCAGAACCUUGGACAGACACCUUUUGUGAAUCUCCCCAGCUCAUACCCACUUCUCUGAGAUCUGUUCCUAUCUUUGGGACUGGUGCUUCUGACCCUGUCUCUCUGGCUAUCAGCGAUUAGACCUUGGAUCAACACCUGACCAAGUUAGCACCUUCAGACUUCUCUGGAGAAAAUGACGCUUAAUUGGUGGUAAUUUAGCUGCAUGGGCCACUUCCAUCACAUGGAGAAAAAUGAAGCAAACUCAGAGUGAGGCAAGUGAGAGACCAUGGGGCCUCAGGAGAACUAUCUUAUCCCUGCAGUCUCCCUUGUAAUUCAGCUAUACCUCUUGUCCUUGUCCUGAGUUAUUUGAGAUGUUCUUAAUAAAUCCCCCCUUUAGCCUGAA